UGUCUGAUUGAACCCGCAGACCUACCGUGUGUUGUAUUGGGUACUGGUUGUGCAAGCUGAGGAUGGAACAGUUUCGGCAGAUAGGAGAAGUAUUAGGAAGCCUGAAGGCCUUAAUGGUGUUCCGCAGCAAUAUACAAAUCAACGGGCACCAAUGUUGUUUGUUGCUGGACAUGUUGAGCUGCGCUUACGAAGUCGUGGCUGACGAGAUGAAACAGAACCUGCGGUUUGAAGAGAAGCACGCGAAAUGGAGAAUCCUGGAACAGCCAUUGAAAGAGCUCCUCAGAGUAUUCAAGGAAGGAGAGAUCUAUAUCAGGCUCUGCUUGGAUAGCAAGGACUGGUGGGCGAAAACCAUGAUCCUAUAUCAAAACACAGAUUGCAUUGACCUUCACAUCCACAACCUGUUAAGUUGCAUGCCAGUCGUCAUUGAAGCGAUCGAGAUCGCCGGAGAAAUUUCCGGUUGGGAUCAUGAUGAGAUGCAAAAGAGGAGAUUGGUGUACUCGAAAAAGUACCAAAAAGAAUGGAAGGACCCGAAGCUCUUCCAAUGGAAAUUCGGCAGACAAUACCUUGUGACUCAAGAUUUCUGCCACCGGUUAGAGCAAGUGUGGAAGGAAGAUAGAUGGCUUCUUAUGAAUAACAUCCGGGAGAAGAGUAUUUCAGGCUCAGCAAUAAAGUAUGAGCAGCGACUUAACGAUCUGCUGUUAAGGAACUUGGAUUUGUGGGAACCUUCCAAUUGGAAACUCUUGCCGUGUUCGAUCUUAGUCGGGUCAAAGGACUACCAGGUGAGGCGGAGGCUAGGCAGUGGAAGCCAAUACAAGGAGAUACUUUGGUUGGGCGAAACCUUUGCUUUGCGACAUCUUUUCGGGAACACGGAGACCUUAGUUCCUGAGAUUUCGUUGAUACAUACUCUUUCCCACCCCAAUAUACUGCAUUUUCUUUGUAGCUUCCUCGACGAGGAAAAGAAAGAGUGUUUCGUGGUCACGGAGCUGAUGAACAGAGACCUAGGCAGCUACAUCAAGGAAAUCUGCGGACCGCGAAAACGGAUUCCUUUCUCUCUUCCCGUGGCCAUCGACUUGAUGUUUCAGAUUGCUAGAGGGAUGGAGUAUCUCCACUCUAAGAAAAUCUACCAUGGAGAUCUCAAUCCUUCUCGCGUUCUCUUGAGGGCAAGAGGUAGUUCAGGAGAAGGAUACCUGCAAGCCAAGGUCUCAGGAUUCGGCCUGUCUUCCUGUAAAAAUUCCUCCCAAAAGACAUCUUUAAGUCAAGAUGGAAUCAUUUGGCACUCUCCCGAAGUUCUAGCCGAGAAUGAAGAGACGGGAAGUACCAGAGACACGAAACACACGGAGAAGUCUGACGUCUACAGUUUCGGGAUGAUUUGCUUUGAACUUCUAACUGGAAAAGUACCCUUUGAGGAUGCGCAUCUUCAAGGGGACAAAAUGAGCAGGAACAUCAGGGCAGGAGAGAGGCCCUUGUUCCCAUUCCAUUCGCCGAAAUACUUGACCAACUUGACGAAGAGAUGUUGGCAUAUCGAUCCGAAUCAACGGCCGAGCUUCUCUUCCAUUUGUAGGAUCCUUCGCUACGUGAAGCGCUUUCUCGCAAUGAAUCCUGAUUGCGGUAGCCAGCCAGACCAGCCGAUGCCAUCUGUGGACUACCACGAUAUCGAAUCGAGGCUACUGAAGAAAUUUCCAUCUUGGGAGAGCCCCAACCAAUUGCCGGUAUCGGACGUACCAUUUCAGAUGUUCGCUUACAGAGUAGCGGAGAGGGAGAAAUCAGGUGCCUGUCUUAAAGAGAACAACUCCGAAUCGGGUAGCGAGGGAGCUUCCGUCUGUGGGGAUGAAGUCACGACCAGUUUGGACGAUCCUCUCCCGUCAGCAGCUGAGACGAAACUAUCGCUUUCUCCUGAAACUUCGAGCAAGAACUUGACAUCGUUGAAAAGACUAACGGACGUCAAACAAAACAGACAACCUGGGACACCAAGAGGGCGGUCACACCGACCUCCGCAGAUUACUCCAACCGGGCGAAGCAUUAGAAUGAAUUCAGAGAGUCAGCUGCUGCAGAUGAGUCCAAAGAUGAAGAGGUCAUCGUCUGGUAAUUCAUCGGAUUGAGAGCUUUCUGAAUAA
This is an RNA transcript of Eucalyptus grandis, 2114 nucleotides long. It is a transcript of the gene named probable serine/threonine protein kinase IRE3, with no coding region annotated. NCBI's taxonomy places the organism in Eukaryota, Viridiplantae, Streptophyta, Magnoliopsida, Myrtales, Myrtaceae. The record is from RefSeq and is a predicted model, not a curated record. The transcript is spliced from 2 exons.